GAUGGAAUCAAAUACGCAGUAUUUACAGAAAAAAGUCUUCUUUUAUUGGGCAAGAGUCAAUAUACUUUUAAUGUCGAAUCGGGAUUUAGUAAGAUAGAAAUAAAGCAUUGGUUCAAACUCUUCUUUGGUGUUAAGGUGGUAGCUGUGAAUGGCCAUCGACUACCUGGAAAAGGUAGAAGAAUAUGACCUAUUCUGGGCCAUACAAUGCAUUACAGACGUAUGAUCAUUACCCUUCAACCGGGUUAUUCUAUCUUGCUUCUAGAUAGAUAA
Molecule: ribosomal RNA, 270 nt
Filed under: Triticum aestivum (bread wheat)
Lineage: Eukaryota; Viridiplantae; Streptophyta; Magnoliopsida; Poales; Poaceae
Description: partial small subunit ribosomal RNA
Source: RNAcentral